Molecule: ribosomal RNA, 1331 nt
Filed under: Phaeopezia apiculata
Lineage: Eukaryota; Fungi; Ascomycota; Pezizomycetes; Pezizales; Pezizaceae
Description: Peziza apiculata partial 28S ribosomal RNA
Rfam family: Eukaryotic large subunit ribosomal RNA
Source: RNAcentral
GGGAUUGCCCUAGUAACGGCGAGUGAAGCGGCAAAAGCUCAGAUUUGAAAUCUGGCGUCAUUUUGACGUCCGAGUUGUAAUCUGUAGAGGAGUAUUCGAGUUUGGCAUUGGCUAAAGUUCCUUGGAAGAGGGCGUCAGAGAGGGUGAGAACCCCGUGUUAAGCCUUUGUUUUUUCUCAUGUGAAUCUCCUUCAACGAGUCGAGUUGUUUGGGAAUGCAGCUCUAAAUGGGUGGUAAAUUCCAUCUAAAGCUAAAUACUGGCAAGAGACCGAUAGCGCACAAGUAGAGUGAUCGAAAGAUGAAAAGAACUCUGAACAGAGAGUUAAAUAGUACGUGAAAUUGUUGAAAGGGAAGCACUUGCUACCAGACGCACUUGCAGCUAAUCAGCCUUCAUUUUUGGAGGUGCACUUGGUUGUAUGUGGGUCAGCAUCAGUUACGGCGGAGGGAUAAAGAUCCAAGGAAUGUGGCUCCUCUCGGGGAGUGUUAUAGCCUUGGAUGUAAUACCUUCAGUUGUGACUGAGGAUCGCGCCUUUUGGUGAGGAUGCUGGCAUAAUGGUCGUAAGUGACCCGUCUUGAAACACGGACCAAGGAGUCUAACAUCUAUGCGAGUGUUUGGGUGUCAAAACCCUUACGCGAAAUGAAAGUGAAUGAAGGUGGGAACCGCAAGGUGCACCAUCGACCGAUCCUGAUGUUCUCGGAUGGAUUUGAGUAGGAGCAUAGCUGUUGGGACCCGAAAGAUGGUGAACUAUGCCUGAAUAGGGUGAAGUCAGAGGAAACUCUGAUGGAGGCUCGCAGCGGUUCUGACGUGCAAAUCGAUCGUCAAAUUUGGGUAUAGGGGCGAAAGACUAAUCGAACCAUCUAGUAGCUGGUUCCGGCCGAAGUUUCCCUCAGGAUAGCAGUAACGAUUAAGUAGUUUUAUGAGGUAAAGCGAAUGAUUAGAGGCCUUGGGGUUGGAACAACCUUAACCUAUUCUCAAACUUUAAAUAUGUAAGAAGUCCCUGUUACUUAAUUGAACGUGGACAUUGGAAUAUACGUUACUAGUGGGCCAUUUUUGGUAAGCAGAACUGGCGAUGCGGGAUGAACCGAACGCGAGGUUAAGGUGCCUAAAUACACGCUCAUCAGAUACCACAAAAGGUGUUAGUUCAUCUAGACAGCAGGACGGUGGCCAUGGAAGUUGGAAUCCGCUAAGGAGUGUGUAACAACUCACCUGCCGAAUGAACUAGCCCUGAAAAUGGAUGGCGCUUAAGCGUGUUACCUAUACCUUGCCGCCAUGGUAGACACUAUGCCAUGGCGAGUAGGCCGGCGUAGGGGUUUGUGACGAAGCCUAUGGAG